Molecule: unclassified non-coding RNA, 372 nt
Filed under: uncultured bacterium
Lineage: Bacteria
Description: contains 16S-23S intergenic spacer region
Source: RNAcentral
UCGCGGCUUAUCACCGGCAGUCCCUUUAGAGUGCCCAACUGAAUGAUGGCAACUAAAGGCGAGGGUUGCGCUCGUUGCGGGACUUAACCCAACAUCUCACGACACGAGCUGACGACAGCCAUGCACCACCUGUGCUCCACCCUCUAAGGCGACCACUUUUCGGCGGCUUGCAGAAGCAUGUCAAGCCCUGGUAAGGUUCUUCGCGUUGCAUCGAAUUAAGCCAUAUGCUCCACCGCUUGUGCGGGCCCCCGCCAAUUCCUUUGAGUUUCAACCUUGCGGCCGUAGUCCCCAGGCGGUUCACUUAAUGCGUUAGCUGCGGCACCGAGGGUUACCCCCCAACACCUAGUGAACAUCGUUUAUGGCCAAGACUAC